Molecule: ribosomal RNA, 617 nt
Filed under: uncultured eukaryote
Lineage: Eukaryota
Description: SSU rRNA
Rfam family: Eukaryotic small subunit ribosomal RNA
Source: RNAcentral
UUGUUGCAGUUAAAAAGCUCGUAGUUGGACUUUAGGCAAGGCGGCCUGGUCACCCUCUGGGUGUACUGGGAUCGCUGCGCCUCACCUUCGGGGAGCUAGUCGUGCUUCGGUGCGCUAGGGAACCGAGCCUUACCUUGAGGAAAUUAGAGUGUUUAAAGCAGGCUUAUGCUUGAAUACGUUAGCAUGGAAUAACAUGAUAGGACUUUGGUUCUAUUUUGUUGGUUUGAGGACCAAAGUAAUGAUUAAUAGGGACAGUUGGGGGCAUUAGUAUUCAAUAGUCAGAGGUGAAAUUCUUGGAUUUAUUGAAGACUAACUAAUGCGAAAGCAUUUGCCAAGGAUGUUUUCAUUAAUCAAGAACGAAAGUUAGGGGAUCGAAGACGAUUAGAUACCGUCGUAGUCUUAACCAUAAACUAUGCCGACUAGGGAUCGGUGGAAGUCGAUUUUGACUCCAUCGGCACCUUACGAGAAAUCAAAGUUUUUGGGUUCUGGGGGGAGUAUGGUCGCAAGGCUGAAACUUAAAGGAAUUGACGGAAGGGCACCACCAGGAGUGGAGCCUGCGGCUUAAUUUGACUCAACACGGGAAAACUCACCAGGUCCGGACAUGGGAAGGAUUGACA